AGUCAUGAAGAGACACAGAGAUAAUGUGUCUCAUGUGUGUUGCUAUGAUAACUAAAAUGAAGUAAAAGGAAAGAGAACUAUUUUACACAGUUGCUGUCCCCCUUGAGGAAUGCUAGUAAAGGAAGGAAGAGCCUAUGGAAGAACAAUGGAGUAGCUAUUCUAACGGGACUAAGAUUGAAGGUAAUCACCACCAAAGAAAGGAUUUCCAAGCAGAAGAGGGAUGUUGACAAGGUCCAAGAAUAAACAGAAUGGUGCUUGUGCUGGAAAUAUGUUAUUAAGUAAUAAAUACUAAUAAUCAGACACAAACAAUGUCUGAUUCUAUGAAAAUACUUGUAGAAACAAAAAAAAACCAGCAUUC
Molecule: long non-coding RNA, 358 nt
Organism: Sapajus apella (tufted capuchin)
Lineage: Eukaryota; Metazoa; Chordata; Mammalia; Primates; Cebidae
Exons: 3
Source: RefSeq, a predicted model, not a curated record